RNAcentral lists this ribosomal RNA (196 nucleotides) under uncultured bacterium. RNAcentral's name for it is "partial 16S ribosomal RNA". It matches the Rfam family "Bacterial small subunit ribosomal RNA", at positions 337 to 525 of the family's 1533-position model. The record is from RNAcentral.
UCCUACGGGAGGCAGCAGUGGGGAAUAUUGCACAAUGGGGGAAACCCUGAUGCAGCCAUGCCGCGUGUGUGAAGAAGGCCUUCGGGUUGUAAAGCACUUUCAGCGAGGAGGAAAGGUUGGUAGCUAAUAACUGCCAGCUGUGACGUUACUCGCAGAAGAAGCACCGGCUAACUCCGUGCCAGCAGCCGCGGUAAUA